ACAGGGGGGCCUGAUGGCCCCAAGUUGGGAGAGGCCCUCGUCCCCGGGGGCCCUCCCCAAAUCCAGUGGCGGUUGCGGUCCGGUUCCGAGCGCAGUAGACUUCUCUCGCUCCGGGGCCCGGGCCGUGUGCCGGCCAGCAAGACACCACCGUAAAUUC
RNAcentral lists this unclassified non-coding RNA (157 nucleotides) under uncultured Ascomycota. Its description in RNAcentral is "sequence contains ITS2". The record is from RNAcentral. Lineage: Eukaryota; Fungi; Ascomycota.